This 2907-nucleotide ribosomal RNA is filed under the name Klebsiella pasteurii. RNAcentral's name for it is "23S ribosomal RNA". It matches the Rfam family "Bacterial large subunit ribosomal RNA". The record is from RNAcentral. Lineage: Bacteria; Pseudomonadati; Pseudomonadota; Gammaproteobacteria; Enterobacterales; Enterobacteriaceae.
GGUUAAGCGACUAAGCGUACACGGUGGAUGCCCUGGCAGUCAGAGGCGAUGAAGGACGUGCUAAUCUGCGAAAAGCGUCGGUAAGGUGAUAUGAACCGUUACAGCCGGCGAUGUCCGAAUGGGGAAACCCAGUGCAAUUCGUUGCACUAUCGUUUGAUGAAUACAUAGUCAAACGAGGCGAACCGGGGGAACUGAAACAUCUAAGUACCCCGAGGAAAAGAAAUCAACCGAGAUUCCCCCAGUAGCGGCGAGCGAACGGGGAGCAGCCCGGAGUCUGAAUCAGCUUGUGUGUUAGUGGAAGCGUCUGGAAAGUCGCAGGGUACAGGGUGAUACUCCCGUACACUAAAACAUACAGGUUGUGAACUCGAAGAGUAGGGCGGGACACGUGGUAUCCUGUCUGAAUAUGGGGGGACCAUCCUCCAAGGCUAAAUACUCCUGACUGACCGAUAGUGAACCAGUACCGUGAGGGAAAGGCGAAAAGAACCCCGGCGAGGGGAGUGAAAAAGAACCUGAAACCGUGUACGUACAAGCAGUAGGAGCCCACUUGUUGGGUGACUGCGUACCUUUUGUAUAAUGGGUCAGCGACUUAUAUUCUGUAGCAAGGUUAACCGUAUAGGGGAGCCGCAGGGAAACCGAGUCUUAACUGGGCGUUAAGUUGCAGGGUAUAGACCCGAAACCCGGUGAUCUAGCCAUGGGCAGGUUGAAGGUUGGGUAACACUAACUGGAGGACCGAACCGACUAAUGUUGAAAAAUUAGCGGAUGACUUGUGGCUGGGGGUGAAAGGCCAAUCAAACCGGGAGAUAGCUGGUUCUCCCCGAAAGCUAUUUAGGUAGCGCCUCGUGAAUUCAUCUUCGGGGGUAGAGCACUGUUUCGGCUAGGGGGUCAUCCCGACUUACCAACCCGAUGCAAACUACGAAUACCGAAGAAUGUUAUCACGGGAGACACACGGCGGGUGCUAACGUCCGUCGUGAAGAGGGAAACAACCCAGACCGCCAGCUAAGGUCCCAAAGUCAUGGUUAAGUGGGAAACGAUGUGGGAAGGCCCAGACAGCCAGGAUGUUGGCUUAGAAGCAGCCAUCAUUUAAAGAAAGCGUAAUAGCUCACUGGUCGAGUCGGCCUGCGCGGAAGAUGUAACGGGGCUAAACCAUGCACCGAAGCUGCGGCAGCGACACUAUGUGUUGUUGGGUAGGGGAGCGUUCUGUAAGCCGUUGAAGGUGGCCUGUGAGGGUUGCUGGAGGUAUCAGAAGUGCGAAUGCUGACAUAAGUAACGAUAAUGCGGGUGAAAAACCCGCACGCCGGAAGACCAAGGGUUCCUGUCCAACGUUAAUCGGGGCAGGGUGAGUCGACCCCUAAGGCGAGGCCGAAAGGCGUAGUCGAUGGGAAACAGGUUAAUAUUCCUGUACUUGGUGUUACUGCGAAGGGGGGACGGAGAAGGCUAUGUUGGCCGGGCGACGGUUGUCCCGGUUUAAGCAUGUAGGCGGAUGUUCCAGGUAAAUCCGGAACGUUAUUAACGCUGAGGUGUGAUGACGAGGCACUACGGUGCUGAAGUGACAAAUGCCCUGCUUCCAGGAAAAGCCUCUAAGCAUCAGGUAACAUCAAAUCGUACCCCAAACCGACACAGGUGGUCAGGUAGAGAAUACCAAGGCGCUUGAGAGAACUCGGGUGAAGGAACUAGGCAAAAUGGUGCCGUAACUUCGGGAGAAGGCACGCUGAUACGUAGGUGAAGUGGUUUACUCAUGGAGCUGAAAUCAGUCGAAGAUACCAGCUGGCUGCAACUGUUUAUUAAAAACACAGCACUGUGCAAACACGAAAGUGGACGUAUACGGUGUGACGCCUGCCCGGUGCCGGAAGGUUAAUUGAUGGGGUUAUCCGUAAGGAGAAGCUCUUGAUCGAAGCCCCGGUAAACGGCGGCCGUAACUAUAACGGUCCUAAGGUAGCGAAAUUCCUUGUCGGGUAAGUUCCGACCUGCACGAAUGGCGUAAUGAUGGCCAGGCUGUCUCCACCCGAGACUCAGUGAAAUUGAACUCGCUGUGAAGAUGCAGUGUACCCGCGGCAAGACGGAAAGACCCCGUGAACCUUUACUAUAGCUUGACACUGAACACUGGUCCUUGAUGUGUAGGAUAGGUGGGAGGCUUUGAAGCGUGGACGCCAGUCUGCGUGGAGCCAUCCUUGAAAUACCACCCUUUAAUGGCUGGUGUUCUAACGUGGGCCCCUAAUCGGGGUUGCGGACAGUGUCUGGUGGGUAGUUUGACUGGGGCGGUCUCCUCCUAAAGAGUAACGGAGGAGCACGAAGGUCAGCUAAUCCUGGUCGGACAUCAGGAGGUUAGUGCAAUGGCAUAAGCUGGCUUGACUGCGAGCGUGACGGCGCGAGCAGGUGCGAAAGCAGGUCAUAGUGAUCCGGUGGUUCUGAAUGGAAGGGCCAUCGCUCAACGGAUAAAAGGUACUCCGGGGAUAACAGGCUGAUACCGCCCAAGAGUUCAUAUCGACGGCGGUGUUUGGCACCUCGAUGUCGGCUCAUCACAUCCUGGGGCUGAAGUAGGUCCCAAGGGUAUGGCUGUUCGCCAUUUAAAGUGGUACGCGAGCUGGGUUUAGAACGUCGUGAGACAGUUCGGUCCCUAUCUGCCGUGGGCGCUGGAGAAUUGAGGGGGGCUGCUCCUAGUACGAGAGGACCGGAGUGGACGCAUCACUGGUGUUCGGGUUGUCAUGCCAAUGGCAUUGCCCGGUAGCUAAAUGCGGAAGAGAUAAGUGCUGAAAGCAUCUAAGUACGAAACUUGCCCCGAGAUGAGUUCUCCCUGACUCCUUGAGAGUCCUGAAGGAACGUUGAAGACGACGACGUUGAUAGGCCGGGUGUGUAAGCGCAGCGAUGCGUUGAGCUAACCGGUACUAAUGAACCGUGAGGCUUAACCUU